RNAcentral lists this long non-coding RNA (3322 nucleotides) under Homo sapiens (human). RNAcentral describes it as "HSALNT0354481". Lineage: Eukaryota; Metazoa; Chordata; Mammalia; Primates; Hominidae. The record is from RNAcentral.
GCACAUGCUGGAGGAUGGGGCAGAACGUAGGGUCCCAAGCCCCUGAGGGAGGGGCUUGUCCUAAUCAAGUCACAGAAAUCAGGGCAGGGAGAGCAUGAAAGAGUCUUGUUCCCCUCUCUGCAUUUGGGAGAUUCAGGCCCCGGGGAGAGGAGAGACUGACCCAUGAUCAUCCAGAGGGGACUUGGUUAAGCUGGUCCUGAGCUCUGCCAUGCAUGUUCUGUUUUCCUACCCUGGCAGCUGGCUCAGAGCAUGGAUAGGCCUUGUCUCUCUUUUCUUUCUUUCUGCCAAAUUCUUUUCUGUUGGGAAUCUGAACAGCGGGUAGAUGCAGUCAUGGCAUGAUUUGCUCCAAAUAUCUCCCCAACAGGUGGUCACGGUGUCUACAAUUCCAUCACCAGAUCUUCCAUUUCCAGGAGUAACCCUGGGCAGGUGUAUACCAUGUGUCUUGUUUACAGUGGGGAUUAAUAGUUCAAGGAGCCCAAGGAGGGAAGGACCGGAUGUACUCUGCAAUCCCAGAAAACUCAAUGGGCUGAGGCAGGAGGACCUACUGGCCAUUGAAGACUGUCCACUCCUGGUCCAGAUUCCAAGUGACCAGGCAGAAAGAGCAUGGACUUUGGAGUUUGAUUGCCUGGCUUUAAAUCCCCCUGCUCCACUCGCUACUGUGGUGUGGACUCAAACUUGAGGUACAGUCAUCCUAUGAAGGAUCAGAGCUGGAAAGUGGGGGCCUGGCUCAGGGAGCAGCAGAACCAGAGCAGAAGCUGAGCUGGAGAUGCCCUGAUGGGGCCGAGGUGGAGGCUCAGGCCUGGGAUGGGCAGUUGGACCAGCAGGUCCAAAACAGCAGAAGCCAAGGCAGGCAGCGGUCUUGGAGAUGCCCUCUGACCUGCCGUGGACUGGAGCCUCUAAGAUGCUUCCUCCUGAGGCUGGAGCUGAUGACUGGCAUCCUUGGGAUGUAACCUGCGUGCAGCCGGCAGAUUCAACAAAUAUUCAUGCUGGAAUGGGAUGCAGAAGUCACCUACUUUCAGAGAUGGGGAAACUGAGACCCAGAGAGGGCACAGCCUUUUCUCGGGGGCCUCCAGUGACUCAGAGUCAAAUCUGUGCUUCUUGGCUCCUGGAUCUCUGAGCUGCACCCACUGGACCCCUAUGCCAACCCCAGCACCCCUGUUCUCCAUGGCGGCCCCGCCCUGAGGAUUUCCUAUGCCUUUCUACAGAGCUUUCUCCUUCUCCUAGAUCCCUUUUCUGCAAAACGAGGCUGGGGAGUUCUGAGCCAAGCCCAGGCCCACGUGCCUGGAACCAGAGACAGCGUAAGGAGCAGACACUGCCAGGUCACUUGCAGCAGACUCCAGGAGGAAAUGAGGGAAACAGAACCUCAGCCGUAGCCUAGCCAGGGCUCUCAGAGCCUAGAAAGCUCUUAGGAGAAGUGGAGAGUUGUUCAGAUCCAGGCUAAUUUGUCAUCUCCAGCCCUUCUCUGGUGAUCAGCUUGCCUCUUCCUCUACCUGCCCCUAUAGGUAGAGGAAGCUUGCCCUUCCUCUCCUGCAUCUUCUCCUCCCCUUUCUGUCACAUGCCUUCUGCUUCUUGAGGCCUCUGCCUCAUUGUAGUUUCUCUUGCUGUCCAGUUCCGGUGAGCUCAUGGCUUCUGUAGCCCAGUUUCUCUUUGCUUCCCUUUGUGAAUCUUUCCUGCUUCGACUCUCACUCCCAACUUCUUAACUUACACUCAAUGCUCCCAGAGGGAGGACUUGAUUGGUUUGGAAGUCCCCCACCAGGACAGGCCAAGGAUUAAGUGAGUUCUUAUAUGAGGUCUCUGAUUCCCUAACUCCAGCUAGGUGUUCAAUUAUUCAGUUCAAUUCUGACACCAACUCCAGGAGUUAGUGCAGACCCCAAGGUUUAGGGCUCAGCCCCACAGGGCUGUCCCCCUUUAGCCACCAGUCACACACAAGUCCAGGGACCAUCUGUACAUCUGACUGCCUGGCUCUGAAUUUCAGGGUUCCCAUAACCUCCCCUUCUAGUUAGAUCAUUCACUAGAACAAUUCACAAAACUCAGCAAGUGCUUUACUUACUAUUACCAGUGGAUUAUAAAGGAUACUACUCAAGAACAGACUCAUGGAAGAGAUGCAGGGAACAAAACAUGGGGGAUUUGCACAAAGCUUCCACGCCCUCCCAGCGAGUCCCUGUGUUCACCAGCCCUGAAGCUCCCAAACCCUGUUGUUUAGGGGUUUUUCUUGCAGUUUCAUUAUGAUGGAUUAAAUCAUUGGCCAUUGGCGAUUGAAUUCAAUCUCCAGCCCAUCUUACCCCCAUGGAGGCUGUAGGGGGUGUGGGGGUAACCAGCCCUCAUCAUGAAGCUCUCUAGGGCUCCUCCAUAAGUCAUCUCAUUAGCAUAUGAAAGGCAAUACGUUCAGGGGUUUUAGGAGCUCUGUGCCAGGAAUUAGAGACCAAGACCAAAUAUUUAUAUUUUAUACCACACCAGGCCACUUCUCAGCCCACUGGCCAACUUCAAGAUUGACUGCUGUUAGGUCACAAUACCCACUUGGCCAGGGGUAGAGAUCACUCAGUAUCAUGUGUGGUGUAAGCUGUUGAGAUUAGGCAUAGACAGUGGCAGGUGACUGACGGGCUGGACAACUGACAGAUGCUCACCUUGGCCAGUGUAGGCACAGAUAGGGCAGGACCCCAUUUGUUUAAGUGUUCCAUCCUCAGAAAUCCCCUCUCCCCCACUUCUUCCUUCUCUUCAUUCCUUCUUUGCUAUUUUUAAAUGGCACAUUGGAAAUAAAACAAUUGUCAAUGUAUUCAGCCCUCCCGCAGCGGGCUGCCAAUCAGCACAGUCCAGCCUACCUCCGCUUCCAUUCCCUCCACCUUAGCCCUCACCUCCCUCUUUGCUCUUGCCCCCGUCUCCGGGCACUCAGGUCUCUGUUAGUUUCUCAACAGCUUUGCAUAUGCUGUUCCCUCUAUUUGGAAUGCUCUUCCCCAUCUCCCACCCCUGGCUGGCUUUUCCUGGCCACCCACUCUGAAUGAUGCGCUCCUCUUACAUAUGUGCCCUGUGUGUUUCUUUACUGAUACUUGUCAGCCUGCUGAUCGACUUAUUUGCACAAACAUUUAAUAAAUCACUGGACCGUCUGCUGUAGGCGGGCAGAGAUCAGAUCUGUUUUGUCUUGCUCAGUACUGUGCAAUAACACCUAGAACAGGCCUGGCUUGGUAGAUAGCUAUUGAAUAAGUGAGUGAAUGGAUGAAUGUCAUUGAAUCAGAGAUGAUUAUGAUUCACAAAGGCUUAUAUGUAUGAGUGAAUUUGAAAAAAUAGAAACAACUUGAAUAUUCAAUAAUAGCCAAUUAAAAAUAUA